GAAACCAAACCAUAAGGAUUUGAAUGAAAAGUAUUUGAAUAAACAUGAAAAGGUGAAUGUAAGAAGCGCACAUAAUUUGAAAUAGGUUACAUGUCAUAUUAAACAUCAUAUAAACACUAUAAAUAGGUUACAUGUCAUAUUAAACAUCAUAUAAACACUAUAAAUAGGUUACAUGUCAUAUUAAACAUCAUAUAAACACUAUAAAUAGGUUACAUAGGUCAUAUUAAACAGCAUAUAAACACUAUAAAUAGGUUACAUGUCAUAUUAAACAGCAUAUAAACACUCUAAAUAGGUUACAUAUCAUAUUAAACAGCAUAUAAACACUAUAAAUAGGUUACAUGUCAUAUUAAACAGCAUAUAAACACUCUAAAUAGGUUAUAUGUCAUAUUAAACAGCAUAUAAACACUCUAAAUAGGUCAGGUGCCAGACAGGGAGACUAAG
Molecule: long non-coding RNA, 441 nt
Filed under: Salmo salar (Atlantic salmon)
Lineage: Eukaryota; Metazoa; Chordata; Actinopteri; Salmoniformes; Salmonidae
Description: lncRNA (ENSSSAG00000119908.1)
Source: RNAcentral